CGUCCCGCAGCUCCUCGAACGUGUCCUCGUCCACGACACCCUGGAUCGACAUCAACCACGGCAAGGCAAACUCAUAGGCCAAGUCAGGCCAAAUUCCACAACCACACGACUAGAGGGGAGGGGAGGGGCCUCACAUCAGUGUACAUGCCGGUGAUAUGAGCGUUGAGCUGCGCCCUCAGUGCUGCGGCUGCCAUGGCAAGGCGAGGAGAAGUCCGGCGGUCUGGGGGACUGAGCGGUGGAGACGGGGGAAAUUCGGCUGCGGAUGCGGCGUGAACGAGGACGGGAUCGAGGAGAAGCGGAGGUUGUAUAGCUGGGCUCACGAGGGUCUCUCACGUAGGCGUUUGGCAGCGAGUGC
Molecule: long non-coding RNA, 355 nt
Filed under: Triticum aestivum (bread wheat)
Lineage: Eukaryota; Viridiplantae; Streptophyta; Magnoliopsida; Poales; Poaceae
Description: long non-coding RNA (TAES_LNC018929)
Source: RNAcentral